AAUUAUUGCCGAUCCUCCCCUCCAACACUGCUCUCAUCACCUAUAUACUCUUCUCUCUGCCCGUCUCUGCUUCCCCCCCCUUCCCCCCCCCCUUUUCUCCCGGCCGACGGAGCUGAAGGGGCGGGGGUUCCUUCCUUGGAGUGUUUCUAGAGCUCGGAGGCUGCUGGUAGGGGGGCACCACUUUCAGAUAAAAACAUAGACCUGAAUGGCAUCAUCCAGUAUCCAAGGAAACCAUUGUGUCUGUAACCAGCUAAUGAGCUGCAACAGAGCCUGGCCUUCAUUUUCAGCAAAUUAAGUUCAUCCCUCAUAGGAAUUGUGGUCUGGCUGUGGCACCGCUCCUAGGUUCUCUAAACAUGAAUAUGCCUUUGGGGGAAGACAGAAGAACAUGGAAGCCAUGUGAAAAAAACGGAUCCUAAGGUAUAAACAAAGUGCAGAUGAUUGUCGGCCAUGCUGCAGGGAUUUCUUGUUUGUCUUCUCAGUAGUGUUAGCUAAUUUUGUCUUCCAAUCCGCAAUUCCUUAUAGGACUUGGACGCUUUGAACCUCUCAGGACCCCUCAGAUUCUAGUACAUAAACUCGGAGCCAAAUUCACAGCCAGCUCUCCUUCAAACUGCCUUAUCUGUUUUUGAGUUAAUUAGAAGGGCCUUUUAACAACUUUGCAUUUGAGUCCUAAGAAAAGUCUAGUUCAUUAGGCAAUAAAGCCACUGUGCUGGCCCCUAAUCAAGGUCAGUACAUAUCAUUAUACGACUGAUCCAAAUUUGAGUUGGUUCAGUUAUUUCAUUUGUUCAUUGUCCACAAUGUUCCAGUCACAGUACCAGGUGCUCAGAGUGUGGUGUUAGAGACAAGAUUCAAAGUAAGUAAUUUUAGACCAAUGUCAUAUGCGCCAUUAUAGAAGUACGGCUGAAAAUGGAAUUUAUAUAAAUAAGCAUGUGAGUGGUUCACUAAACAGGGAUGGGCAAGAAAGACCUUACAGAAGAGAUGAAUAUCUUAGCGAAUAACUUAGCAGGAUUUCAAAGAAUGGACGAGAGUUUUGCAGGCAGAUGAGAUAGGAAGGGUGCCAGAGAGAAAGGAAAGCAUGGGCAAGGGCUCAGGAGGUGGGGAAAAAUGUGAUAUAGUUUGAGGUACUGGAGUAUGAAGUUAACAAGGGGAGAAUAUUUAGAAGGAAGGAUGGAGAAGUAGGCAGAGAGCAGAUUAUCAGGUUAAAAUAUUAGAAAUUAGUAUUGAAGUUUACUAGAAGCCAGCAGCACGUUCAAUGCAAGCAGGUGCCAUGGUCAUAUUAGUUUUAGUUUAGUAAUCAGUGUAGAAGGUGGAUGAGAGGGGGUGAGUCUGGAGGCAAUAAGCAUAGUUGGUAGUAGCAGUCUAGGUGUCACCUGACAGGGGCCUUUACUAGCCCAGUGGUGGACAUUUUUAAUGCAUUAGUCUUUCUUCUAGUCUGUGAAUUUCUUAUAACGAGGGUGUGGUCUUCCUCACACUUGUUUCUUCACACUUGUUGCCUACUAUCAUACCUGACAUGCAGUAAAUUACCAUAGCAAGACAAAAAAUCUCUUAAACGUGUACUCUUUAUUACUCUGUUGGACCAUGAUGAGAGCAACUUAUUGUAUGGCUAUUUAAAAUUAUUUAUGAAGAUAAUAUUUUUUGUGUUGGAAAUGCUACAAUAAUUUAAUUGUGAGAUUUAUAACUAAGACUUAUUGUUCACAUUUGUUUUAUGUUUUCAUAUAUGUGAUGAAAUAGACAAUUUACUCUGUAAGUCUUAAAUAUAAAAAUGAUUCAUUAUUUCUUUCUGAAAAAAAAAAAAAAAAA
This 1797-nucleotide long non-coding RNA is filed under the name Homo sapiens (human). RNAcentral's name for it is "MEF2C antisense RNA 1 (MEF2C-AS1)". Lineage: Eukaryota; Metazoa; Chordata; Mammalia; Primates; Hominidae. The record is from RNAcentral.